This 506-nucleotide ribosomal RNA is filed under the name uncultured bacterium. Its description in RNAcentral is "partial 16S ribosomal RNA". It matches the Rfam family "Bacterial small subunit ribosomal RNA", at positions 28 to 523 of the family's 1533-position model. The record is from RNAcentral.
GAUGAACGCUAGCUACAGGCUUAACACAUGCAAGUCGAGGGGUAACGAGAGGAAAGCUUGCUUUCCUUGUCGACGACCGGCGCACGGGUGAGCAACGCGUAUCCAACCUGCCCCCAACUAGGGAAUAACCUUGCGAAAGUAAGACUAAUACCCUAUAAUUUCCUCAGAUGACAUCUGACGAGGAAUAAAGAUUUAUCGGUUGUGGAUGGGGAUGCGUCUGAUUAGGUUGUUGGCGGGGUAACGGCCCACCAAGGCAACGAUCAGUAGGGGUUCUGAGAGGAAGGUCCCCCACAUUGGAACUGAGACACGGUCCAAACUCCUACGGGAGGCAGCAGUGAGGAAUAUUGGUCAAUGGGCGGAAGCCUGAACCAGCCAAGUAGCGUGCAGGAUGACGGCCCUAUGGGUUGUAAACUGCUUUUAUACAGGAAUAAAGUUAGCCACGUGUGGUUAUUUGUAGGUACUGUAUGAAUAAGGACCGGCUAAUUCCGUGCCAGCCGCCGCCGUAA